RNAcentral lists this ribosomal RNA (202 nucleotides) under uncultured bacterium. Its description in RNAcentral is "partial 16S ribosomal RNA". It matches the Rfam family "Bacterial small subunit ribosomal RNA", at positions 1300 to 1500 of the family's 1533-position model. The record is from RNAcentral.
GCAGUCUGCAACUCGACUGCAUGAAGCCGGAAUCGCUAGUAAUCGCGGAUCAGAAUGCCGCGGUGAAUACGUUCCCGGGUCUUGUACACACCGCCCGUCACACCAUGGGAGUCGGGAAUGCCCGAAGCCGGUGACCCAACCUUUCAGGAGGGAGCCGUCGAAGGCAGGCCUGGUAACUGGGGUGAAGUCGUAACAAGGUACC